UGUUGCUUAGUUACGAAUUUGACAAAUUUAUUUAAAUCAGUCAAGUAUUGGCAGUCAAUUUUUACACCCGACUUUUUAUUAAAGAAACUAUAAUGUCUGGUUACAAGGGAAAUAAACAAGUUAAUGAUACAGUAGUCUGCAAAAAAUCAAAAAAGUUAACCAAAAAGCGUGUGUUCAUUAAGAUAUGGAAGUUCGCAGUUAAUUUCUGCGACAUUUUAGGCUUGUUGGAUAUAUUACCCUGUGGUACUAUACAUUCAAUUAAGCCCUACAUCAACUAUGGCAUUUCUAUUAAAAUACGUUAAUAUUUAAUACAUAAUAUUUUACUGUAUGUAAUAAAGUUCCAUUUGAA
Aethina tumida (small hive beetle) is the source of this 349-nucleotide long non-coding RNA. RefSeq lists it as uncharacterized. Lineage: Eukaryota; Metazoa; Arthropoda; Insecta; Coleoptera; Nitidulidae. The record is from RefSeq and is a predicted model, not a curated record. The transcript has 2 exons.